CUAGCAACAACAUCUGCAGUAAAGUUGGCCUCCCGAAAAAAGUGCUUAAAAGAAAUCUCUUCGUAGUAAGAACUGAGCAAUCGAAUGUCUUACACAAGGAGACUUAUGCUCCAGGGAACCGAAACCAGAUUAUUAACACAAUCAAUGAUAAGCUUUGAGUCACCUUCCACAAGGAUCUUUCGCCAACCCUUAUGAAUAGCAUGAGCCAGGCCAUCCCGAAGAGCCAAACACUCUGCGACUGUAAUAGAAACUUGACCAGAGUUUUUAGUGCCAGCUAAACGAACAUUACCAUUCUAGUCACGAAUCACAAAACCAGUUGCAGCCAGAUUACCACGCACCGAACCAUCAAAAUUCACUUUAACCCAGUCUAGCGGUGGUGGUUCCCACUUGAUAUUAACCUUUCCAGUAGAUUUCUGGGGCGGGCAAGAGUUAAUUUUCCAGUAAUCUAGCCCAAUGCGACCAGCCACAUUUAGUACUCUAACUGGAUGGGGAUCGAUGUCUUUAAAAAUGCAGUUGUUCCUGGCUUCCCAGAUCUGCCAGCAUAAAAGAAGAGCUUUGGAAAGAACAUUUGGGCCAUCGGCAGCCUUGGUAUGAGGUAGCGAAGCCAGCCACUCAAUGCCAUCAAAAUUCUGAUGAGCAUAGUUAGGGAAAAAAUACGUAAGUGGUUAAUAGUCUCCAUAUGAUUCUUACACAGAGGACAUUCUGGAUUGAUAUUAGGUAAAAAUUUGUAGAGAUGGCUUCUAACUUGCAGUCUUUUUCGAAUGAGAAGCCACGAAAAAAGUUUGACUUUAGGGGGGAGGAUUAAACUCCACAUUUUCUUCAAAAGGGGGGCUUUUGGGUGACUCUGUUCAUCCUGCAGUUGUAAAUUGUAAGCAGACUUUAUAGAAAAAUUUCCAUUAGGGGCAGGCCCCCAGAUAAGCUUAUCUUGAAGAGGAUAAAAGGGCAAAGGAAUGGUCAGAAUUUUUUCUAUCACAUCAUCAUCAAUCACUUGAGAGAGCUUGUCAUAAUUCCAAGCUUGAUUUUGAAUAAAGUCAGACACUUUAGCAUUUAAAUUAAGAUUAUUUCUAAGGAAGACAGGAAUUAGAUCUAACAAAGGAAAAGGAAAGACCCAAUUAGCAGUCCAGAAAGGAAUAGAUUGCCCAUUACCAACAAUCCACCUUAUACCUUUGUGAAGCACAGAGCGCGCCUCAAGGAUGGCUUUCCAAGUCGAAGAAUGUGAAGUCUUUUUAGCAGUCACAAGAAAACCCUCAUUCUUCAAGUACUUCUUCAACAUAAUUUGAGCCCACCAAUUGGAAGAAUCAGUUAAGCAGAUCCAACCUAAUUUUGCUAAAGCCGCUUUGUUGAAAAGAGCCGCAGAU
This 1358-nucleotide long non-coding RNA is filed under the name Prunus dulcis (almond). RNAcentral's name for it is "sRNA ncRNA". The record is from RNAcentral. Lineage: Eukaryota; Viridiplantae; Streptophyta; Magnoliopsida; Rosales; Rosaceae.